This 252-nucleotide unclassified non-coding RNA is filed under the name uncultured Rhizopogon. RNAcentral's name for it is "sequence contains ITS2". The record is from RNAcentral. Lineage: Eukaryota; Fungi; Basidiomycota; Agaricomycetes; Boletales; Rhizopogonaceae.
AUUUCUCAACCCCUCUCAAUUAGCUUUGAGGGGGAGCUUGGAUAGUGGGUGUUGCCAGAGACUCUUACUUGUGUAAGACUUGGGCUCACCUGAAAUGCAUUGGCUUGCAGUCAACCUUUUGACUUUGCAUGAUAAGGCUUUCGGUGUGAUAAUGAUCACCGUGUGCUGAAGUGUAUGAAUAAAGGUUCUGUGCCUCUAAUAUAUGGGUUGACCUUUACUAUAUAGUAAAGUCUUUUCCCCCCCUUUUGACUU